UUGUGCAAAUUUCAGGUUCCCCAAACCUGGAAGUAUGAAAGAUGGGUUGAGCUGUGGAGGAUAAAAAGAGAAAUUCCAAUUUAAGUAGGAUUCAAGUGGAGAGAAUAGGAGAAUUUGGAAUAGGCAGUAUUUAAAGAGAUAUGUUAGAGAAUUUGCUUGAAUUGCAAGAAAACUAGUUUUAGAUUUAAAAGUACAUUAAGUUCUGAACAGCACAAAAAAACAAAAUCUUUACCUAAGUACAUUACAGCGAAACUACAGAAUAUCUUAAAAACUUGUAGAGAAAACAGAAAGAAAGAUGUCAAUAAGAAUAAAAAUAGACUUCCCAUCAGUGAUAACUGAUAAAGGAGGACAAUGAAAUUGUGUCCUCAAAGUGCUGAGGGAAAAUGUUAACAUAGAAUUCUAUACCCCAAACUGUCAUUCAGUAUUAAGAAACAAAAACAUUUCCAGAUAUUAAAAAUUAAGAAGUCUACUUUCACUGAAGUACUUAAAUAAUAUUCCUCAGCAAGAAAACCAGACAAAACAAUCCAGAAGAAUCCAGAGGUGAAAGCCACGAAGAAGUGUAAACAAAGAAAAGUUUUUAAACUGAAGUAUCUAUUUAAGAAAACAAAUCAAAACAACAGCGGAAAAACAGCAGCAACCUAUUUUGGUGAUUUUAAAAGCAAGGUGGAAAUAAAACACUAUACAAAAGUAACUGAAAAAGUGGAAAGGAUGAAGAUUGAACAGUCCAAGUUCUUCCAGACUAUUCUUUUUUUCUAAAUCAACUUUAGACCUUGAGUUGAAUAUUUUAAGGUUAAAGAGUUAACCUUACAUUUUAAAAAUUAAGAAGAUAAAUUAAAAUGUAUAACUGCAUAACCAGGAGGAAAUAAGAGAAUUAUUUAUUCAACAUAAUGCAGGACAAAAGGAGAGACACAAAGCCAAAGCCUGAGGGUCUGCCUUCCGAAUGCUGCCCACGAAGCAGGAACUUCGCCAAUUGUCCCUGUAUCCUAACCUGCCCCCUGCAUCCACUCUCAUCUCCUGACCUUAGGAAAUUACCGUACUAUUGACGUGAAACAAGAAGGAAUUGAAAUGAUGUCAGAAAAGAAGAAAUAAGGAAAAGAGAAGAGUGACUUAAAGCAGUUCAGCAGAGGCAGGGGGAGUGAAGAAGCCAUAAAACCCCCAGAUACUGGCAACUGGAGAGCUUUUAAGGACAAAGAUGUCAAGGCUUUAAAUUGAACUUGUAUGUUUUCCAGUGAUGUAACCUCCUCUGACCACCCAAGUCUUAUACAGCUUGUAUUACAC
Bubalus bubalis (water buffalo) is the source of this 1278-nucleotide long non-coding RNA. RefSeq lists it as uncharacterized. The transcript has 3 exons. The record is from RefSeq and is a predicted model, not a curated record. Lineage: Eukaryota; Metazoa; Chordata; Mammalia; Artiodactyla; Bovidae.